Molecule: ribosomal RNA, 253 nt
Filed under: uncultured bacterium
Lineage: Bacteria
Description: partial 16S ribosomal RNA
Rfam family: Bacterial small subunit ribosomal RNA
Source: RNAcentral
UACGUAGGGGGCAAGCGUUGUCCGGAAUCAUUGGGCGUAAAGCGCGUGUAGGCGGCUCGAUAAGUCUGCUGUGAAAGUCAAGGGCUCAACCCUUGAAUGCCGGCCGAUACUGUCAGGCUAGAGUCCGGAAGAGGCGAGUGGAAUUCCUGGUGUAGCGGUGAAAUGCGCAGAUAUCAGGAGGAACACCGAUGGCGAAGGCAGCUCGCUGGGACGGUACUGACGCUGAGGCGCGAAGGCGUGGGGAGCGAACGGG